Molecule: transfer RNA, 62 nt
Filed under: Dipodomys ordii (Ord's kangaroo rat)
Lineage: Eukaryota; Metazoa; Chordata; Mammalia; Rodentia; Heteromyidae
Rfam family: tRNA
About the family: Transfer RNA (tRNA) molecules are approximately 80 nucleotides in length. Their secondary structure includes four short double-helical elements and three loops (D, anti-codon, and T loops).
Source: Rfam by way of RNAcentral
GGGAAGGUAGCUCAGUGGUAGAGUGCUUGCCUUGCAUGCAUGAGGCUCUGGUUUCCAUUCCU